UCCCCGAUAGUCUAGUGGUGAGGAUAUCUGCUUGUCACUGGGAAAUCCCACGAUACGCAGGGGACCGGGGUUCAAUUCCCCGUCGAGGAG
RNAcentral lists this transfer RNA (90 nucleotides) under Colletotrichum lupini. Its description in RNAcentral is "tRNA-Asp". It matches the Rfam family "tRNA". Rfam says of the family: Transfer RNA (tRNA) molecules are approximately 80 nucleotides in length. Their secondary structure includes four short double-helical elements and three loops (D, anti-codon, and T loops). Lineage: Eukaryota; Fungi; Ascomycota; Sordariomycetes; Glomerellales; Glomerellaceae. The record is from RNAcentral.